AGGGUGGACGAUAUACCCUGCAUCAUAAAGGUUCCACUCAAGAAAAUGAGAGUGGAAGAUGCUGGCAUGUACACAGCACUGUCAGAGGCAAGAAGACCUCUGCAACCCUCAGAGUGAUAGAACAUAUGAGGAUUGUGUAUAAGAACUUCGUGACUUGAUAGUUACUGCUGGCGAGGAUGCCCAUUUUGUGUGUGAGCUGUCACAUGAGAACAUCCUUGAUGGAGUUUGGUUGCUUGAUUCCAGCAUACUGCAGGAGAACCAGAUUAACCAAAUUAGUAUCUGUGGCCGAGAACACCACCUGGUGCUCACUAUGAACACACUUGAAGAGUCCGAUAUUGAGUCCUUUCUGGUUAUUGAGUCCUUUCUGGUGGGAAAUGAGAAGACUUCGGCUUGUCUGCAGGGAAAUAGCAAACCUAAAGGAGAAACUUGAGGACAUGACCAUUUUUUAGGGAGAUUCUGUCACGGUGUCCUGUGUGACCUAUGACCCUUGCAUCCCUGUCAGCUGGAAACAGAAUAACGUGACCAUGCUCCCAGGAGAAAAAUAUAAACCUCUGAAAGAAGGGAAGCAUAAUCUUCUAAUUCAUAGAUUAAUAAAAGAGGACGCUGGGACUUACAUGUGUGAUACAGGAGACAUGCAGAGCAGUGCUGCUCUUAAAGUCAAGGCAGGUAGAUCCAAAACCAAGAAGCAGAAGAUGGUGAGAUUGCUUUUUGUGCUGUGAACUGUCUCAACCUGGAGUUGAAGUUGAGUGGAAGAAGAGAGCAGUUCUGCUAAGACCAAGGAACAAAUAUGAGAUGAAGCAGGAUGGAUGUGAGCUACAUCUACAGAUAAAUGAUCUCACAAGUCAGGACAGUGCCUACAGCCUACAGAUGUUGUGUAGAUGGCAUUGAGACAAGGGCCAACAUUACUGUGAAAGAUAUGAGCCAAACAGGCAUCAAAAU
Xyrauchen texanus (razorback sucker) is the source of this 939-nucleotide long non-coding RNA. RefSeq lists it as uncharacterized. The transcript has 4 exons. The record is from RefSeq and is a predicted model, not a curated record. NCBI's taxonomy places the organism in Eukaryota, Metazoa, Chordata, Actinopteri, Cypriniformes, Catostomidae.